UUAUUAAGGCAAAUGAAAUGGGCUGAAGCCCAAAUGCUCUCAUCUAAACCUAAUACCAUAAUCUCCUCUCUAACUCUCAUUAUCUCACACUGUCUCCUUAUCAAUCUCACCUCUCGUCUCUCUCUCUCUUACCCUCAUCUCGCUUUCUCUCGGCAAUGGGGGCUCAACGGGGUUGUAGGGGGCUCAACAACACACAGUAGCGCGGGUUUUAAGGUAAUCUCUUUAUCUCUUUCAUUUUUUUUACUCUCUGUUUUGUUCUCUCUUCUUUGUAGGUGGCGGGGCUUGCGCAGAGGCUCAACGGAGCUGUAGGGAGCUCGGCGACACGGGUUUAGGGCUCUCACUCUCGGGGGAUGUUCAAUGAGGCUCGCGAAUGGAUUGUUCGACGGGGUUGAGGGUUCGCAACGGAGUUUGGACUCAGGGUAAAAUUUUUUUUGAAGAGAACCAAGACAAUUAUACAAGAGAACCAAGGCAGCAAGAAAUUCUUAGUUGUUGGGUAUUAUUUUCUUUCUUGCUUGUAAGAAUUAUGUACAGUGAGGAUUUGAUGUAUUAUUUACAUUGAGAAUAAUGAAUUUUUAUUGAGAAUUAUUUA
Molecule: long non-coding RNA, 589 nt
Organism: Humulus lupulus (European hop)
Lineage: Eukaryota; Viridiplantae; Streptophyta; Magnoliopsida; Rosales; Cannabaceae
Exons: 2
Source: RefSeq, a predicted model, not a curated record